UACGUAGGGUGCAAGCGUUGUCCGGAAUUAUUGGGCGUAAAGGGCUCGUAGGCGGUUUGUCACGUCGGGAGUGAAAACUCGGGGCUCAACCCCGAGCCUGCUUCCGAUACGGGCAGACUAGAUGGUAUGCAGGGGAGAAUGGAAUUCCUGGUGUAGCGGUGAAAUGCGCAGAUAUCAGGAGGAACACCGGUGGCGAAGGCGGUUCCUGCUUCGGCGAUUACCUGACGGCUAGAGGAA
This 237-nucleotide ribosomal RNA is filed under the name uncultured bacterium. Its description in RNAcentral is "partial 16S ribosomal RNA". It matches the Rfam family "Bacterial small subunit ribosomal RNA", at positions 524 to 753 of the family's 1533-position model. The record is from RNAcentral.